CAUUCUCUCUUUCUCCAUCUUUCAAGUUCAUUCAUCUAAGCUUUUCACGUCCCAUCACCCAAACGCUCUCCUCUCUCCCUCCCCUUCCCACAUCUCCUAAAUUCCACAACACAAAUUAAAAAAUAAAAAAUUUUAAAUUUUAAAUUUUAAAAAAUUAAAAAAAUUAAAAAUUAAAAAGCCCUUUUUUUUUUUCUUCCAAAAAAAACAGACAAUCCCACCACCACAUCAACGCUCUCAACCUUUCCCGUGAAUCCAUUUUUUUUCUUUCCAUCUCUUCCCUUAAAAAAUUUCAUGAUUUUGCCCAAACCCCAACAACCCAAUUAAGUUGCUCCUCCCUUAAUGGAUUCCGUGACUGAAUCCGGCGGUGGUGGGUCGUCGGAGCCCACGGGGGAGGGCUCGUCAGCUGGUGGCUCAGCACCGUUGGCGGCGGCGGCCGCGGCAGCUCCACCGAGCCGGUAUGAAUCUCAGAAGAGAAGGGAUUGGAACACGUUUUUGCAGUACUUGAAGAACCACAAGCCGCCACUGUCUUUAGCGCGUUGCAGUGGCGCUCACGUGAUCGAAUUCUUGAAGUACUUAGACCAGUUCGGGAAGACUAAGGUCCAUGGAUCGGGCUGCCCGUAUUUCGGUCAUCCUAACCCCCCUGCUCCUUGCCCCUGCCCGCUCAAGCAAGCUUGGGGCAGCCUCGACGCCUUGAUCGGCCGCCUUAGAGCCGCCUACGAGGAGAACGGCGGCCGCCCCGAAUCCAACCCAUUCGCCGCACGUGCCGUCAGGAUUUAUCUCCGUGAGGUCCGCGAAGCUCAAGCCAAAGCCAGAGGGAUUCCCUACGAGAAAAAGAAGCGGAAAAGAGCCGCCGCCAAUGUGUCGGUGCCUCCACCAACUGAUGUUAGCUUGGCGGGGAGUAGUAGCUCCGCCACCGUCGGUGCCGAUAUUCAACCGGAAACAACCGCUGCUGGUGAUCAAACUGGUGACGCUCCGCCGUCCACAACCGCCGCUUCCACCACCGUAUAGUCGCUUCUACUGGUUUUUCCUUCAAUUACUUUCUUUUUUUUUUUUUUUUUUUUUUUUUUUUUAUAAAUGUUUUGCUUCAAAUAUUAGCAUCAUCUCAUCAUCAUCAUCUCUCCUAAUUGUGAUUAUGAGUUUUAUUUAAUCAUAUAAUAUUCAACCAUUCUCAUUAA
Cucurbita moschata (crookneck pumpkin) is the source of this 1175-nucleotide RNA transcript. It is a transcript of the gene named protein LIGHT-DEPENDENT SHORT HYPOCOTYLS 5-like, with no coding region annotated. The transcript has 2 exons. The record is from RefSeq and is a predicted model, not a curated record. Lineage: Eukaryota; Viridiplantae; Streptophyta; Magnoliopsida; Cucurbitales; Cucurbitaceae.